Desmophyllum pertusum is the source of this 75-nucleotide non-coding RNA. Lineage: Eukaryota; Metazoa; Cnidaria; Anthozoa; Scleractinia; Caryophylliidae. The record is from the annotation of a GenBank genome assembly.
GACGUGGUGGUUUAAUGGUUAGCGCGUUCAUGAUCAUGGAUCGAACGGUCCUGGUUCGAGCCCUGGCCUGGGUCA